Arachis duranensis is the source of this 2595-nucleotide RNA transcript. It is a transcript of the gene named beta-ketoacyl-[acyl-carrier-protein] synthase III B, chloroplastic, with no coding region annotated. The transcript is spliced from 9 exons. The record is from RefSeq and is a predicted model, not a curated record. NCBI's taxonomy places the organism in Eukaryota, Viridiplantae, Streptophyta, Magnoliopsida, Fabales, Fabaceae.
AAAAAUUAAUAGGCACCAUUAAGCUUCACCUUUUGCACGCGAAGCCCAGCAGAGCAACGACGCCAAUCAUCGACAUCCUCCCCAGCCAUCCGUCCCGGUGUCGUCGUCGGCAGCCUUCCCCCUUGCCUUGUUGUGAGUUGCAGAUCGGCGCCUCUCCCCUCAAUCUCGAGCUGCGUUCAAUUUCUCCUCAGGCCAAAGAGAGACCCUCCUAACAGCCAAGAACCAACUGCCGCUCGCAGCCGUUCCACCCGUGACCGCCGCUUGCGAGUUCAGAUGCGGUGGCUUUGGUGAUGGCAUCCGUAUCAUCGCCACUCUUGCCCGAAGAUCUGCGUUCGCCACCAUUGCUCCAUCAACAAGGGUCGCAAACGCUCUCUGCCUCCCCUUCACGGCAGCGUCGCCCCCACACUGCUUGCUACCACCUCGUCGUUCGUCGCGUUCUUUCUCGCAGCUGCUCCGCCUACGACCGCCGCGUCUGUGAACCAGCAACGCAUCUUUGGUGCCGGUUCCCGAUCCAAUAGAUCCUCGUCCUCCACCUUCCCCUUCGCGACGGCGUUGUCCUCGGAGCUGCUUCUGGCCGUGAGUUCCCCAUCGCCGUUGCCCCGAGUGGUGCCAUAAGCAUCAUCACUGUCCAACGCCAUCGCGGUAGAUAAUUUUAUAUGUGCUUCUAAAUCUUCUACUUGUUGAAUUGCUUGUGUUAUAAUAUCAUAGAUUGGGAUUGAUGAUGCUGGAACUGGACCUUGAAAUUUUGAUUGGAUUUCUAGAUCUGAGAUUUGAAAUUCUGCUUGCUCUGUAGAUUCUGUUGAGUCUUCUUGUUGUUGCUGUGGCUGAACAUGAAAAUCAAAAGUGGUUGUUGUUGAGCAGUUUGUUGUUGAAGUCCCUGAUGAACCUGAACCUUGAUUUGCAAAUUAUUUUUCAUAAAAUUUUGCCAAAGAUAAAGCACAGAAAAGAGAUUUUGGAUUUUCAAUUAGAUGAAUCCUAUUUAGUACUUUAAUUUCUAAGAUUUUGGAUUUUAUAAGUGCAGUUGUGAAAGUUUGAUUCCUGUUUAGUACUUUAAUUUCUUGAAGAAGAUGAAUCCUUUUUGUGUACCAACAAAUAUUGGAUCUGCCAUACUUGUGAUGGAUCUAGUCUGUUGUUAAAUGGACACCAUAAAUUGGUGUUUUGUUUUGUACCAAGCUUUUAUUUUGACUAUGUUAUCUUCACAUUUGUAUAUUGAAUGCAGAAAACCACAUAAUAAGAUGUGAAGCUGUAAGUAUUCAUGCUUUAAUAUUACUCUCAGGAUGGUGAAUUUUUCGUAUCCAAUAUUAUACCUUUUAUUUAUUUAUUUAACUUUCUUUUUCAGAGACAAUUUGGUGUAAUGAUACAGUCAUUGCAUCAAAAUGUAUUGAUAAAUUUAAUAUGAAAAUAUUCCUACAGGAUGUGAUGCUUUGUGGUGGUUCAGAUGCUGCUAUUAUACCCAUUGGUAUGAUUCACUAUUGAUUCUUUUUCACCUGCAUAAGGUUAUCAUGCCAUAAAUCUAGCUGAUAUGAAUCCACUAAUCAUUGGUACAUGUUUGGGAGGUUUUGUGGCAUGCAAAGCCCUAUCACAGAGGAAUACAGACCCUACCAAAGCUUUAUGCCCUUGGGACAUUAACCGAGAUGGAUUUGUCAUGGGGGAAGGAGUUGGAGUUUUACUUUUGGAAGACUUGGAGCAUGCAAAGGCAGAGAUAAUUUGAUAGCGUUAGGGGUAGAUGCAUCUAGGAAAGCUCUUGAGAUGGCAAAUGUUGACCCUGAUGAUCUUGACCUUAUAUUGAUGUGCACGUCUACACCAGAGGAUCUAUUUGGUAGUGCUCCACAGAUACAAAAACAACUUGGCUGCAAAGCAAAUCCAUUGGCUUAUGACAUUACAGCUGCAUGUAGCGGAUUUGUGUUGGGCUUAAUAUCAGCUGCUUGUCACAUUAGGGGUGGUGGAUUUUGUAAUGUUCUUGUUAUUGGGGCUGAUGCUCUGUCAAGAUAUGUUGAUUGGACCGAUAGAGGGAGUUGUAUUCUCUUUGGGGAUGCGGCUGGUGCUGUGCUAGUACAGCCCCAUCAACUGGACAUUAAAUUUGCUGCAGUGGUUCAGGCUUGCCAUGACAAGUUUGUUGUUCUCAUCUUUCUAGAUAUGAAGCUCAACUCCAAAAGUUCUGUAACUUAAUGGAUUUUGUUUUCGAUUCGCCUACACCUGAAGCUCUGCAUGGGAGUGCUUCUACAGUUGACCGGUUGAAGUAUAAAUUGGAGAAUUCUAAGUUUUGGGCUCAGCUCCUGCGGCGUACACUCUCCUUGGGACAAAAAGGCAUAGUGGAUUUGAUGGAGUUGUUACUGUCUCCCAUCUCAAAAGUCCUGGACAUGGUGUGAGGUUGUCAUCUGCUUAAUUACUAUUUACAUUUUUUAACUCAGUUAAAUCUGUUCCCGAAAUUGAUGAUGUUGAACAUUUUAGUGAACUUAAUUGAUUAUUCUUAUUUGAGUGAGACAAGAUCCAGAAGGAUAUUUCUUCUACAUUAUUUAUAUUCAUUUCUAUGUGUGGCUUUGAAGUAUUGACAAGGUGACAGAGUUAAUGAAAAAUGGCCUAAACAAUUGUAAU